UCUGACAAUUGNCCUCAAAUCGGGUGGGACUACCCGCUGAACUUAAGCAUAUCAAUAAGCGGAGGAAAAGAAACUAACAAGGAUUCCCCUAGUAACGGCGAGUGAAGAGGGAAAAGCUCAAAUUUUGAAUCUGGCACCUUUGGUGUCCGAGUUGUAAUCUAGAGAAGUGUUUUCCGUGUCGGACCGUGCACAAGUUCCCUGGAACGGGGCGUCAUAGAGGGUGAGAAUCCCGUAUAUGGCAUGGACUCCCGAUGCUCUGUGAUACACUCUCGACGAGUCGAGUUGUUUGGGAAUGCAGCUCAAAAUGGGUGGUAAAUUCCAUCUAAAGCUAAAUAUUGGCGAGAGACCGAUAGCGAACAAGUACCGUGAGGGAAAGAUGAAAAGCACUUUGGAAAGAGAGUGAAACAGUACGUGAAAUUGUUGAAAGGGAAGCGUUUGAAGUCAGUCGCGCUCGUCGGAACUCAGCCUGGCUUCUGCCUGGUGUACUUUCUGGCGGGCGGGUCAGCGUCAGUUUUGGUCGAGGGAGAAAGGCAUUGGGAACGUGGCAGUCUUCGGGCUGUGUUAUAGCCCUUUGUUGUAUGCCUCGACCGGGAUUAAGGACUGCAGCGCGCCUUUAUGGNCNGGGUNCGCGCACUC
This 636-nucleotide ribosomal RNA is filed under the name uncultured Sebacinales. RNAcentral's name for it is "eukaryotic LSU rRNA". It matches the Rfam family "Eukaryotic large subunit ribosomal RNA", at positions 1 to 630 of the family's 3401-position model. Lineage: Eukaryota; Fungi; Basidiomycota; Agaricomycetes; Sebacinales. The record is from RNAcentral.